GUUCCAGCCCUGUGCGACGGAAGGCCGUAAAACCCCGCCAGGCCCGGAAGGGAGCAACGGUAUACGGUCAUCCGGGUGCCGCAGGCAAACUGGAUCCCC
Molecule: non-coding RNA, 99 nt
Organism: Synergistales bacterium 58_81
Lineage: Bacteria; Thermotogati; Synergistota; Synergistia; Synergistales
Source: Rfam